AAUUAUACCGCUCUAGCCAAUCAGAAAAUAGCUAGAGUCUAACGUCGAGACGAAUCAGUGCGCAUCAUAGUGCGCAUGUCAUCAGUCUACAGUUGAAAAUCGUGGUGAUAGGUCACGUUUCACCGGCUGAGAAUGAACAUCUUUGUGAGAAAUUAUUAUUUGAUCGUAAGCAGAAUGGCUUCGAAAGUGUAGUUUCUACGCACACCAUGGCAAUUGAGAGAUAAUUCGACAACUUUGACACAGAUAUGAUAUUUUCCAUUUCUUGGAUGGAUCACGACAACAUCAAUGGCAAUAUAGAUUCUUCGCAUCUAAUGGUGAGUUGCAUAUAUUUAAGUUUCUCCGAUCGUUCGAUAAUUUUAAUUAGAAUAUAUUUAACAUAGAUAUUUGAAA
Molecule: long non-coding RNA, 390 nt
Organism: Apis dorsata (giant honeybee)
Lineage: Eukaryota; Metazoa; Arthropoda; Insecta; Hymenoptera; Apidae
Exons: 3
Source: RefSeq, a predicted model, not a curated record